Molecule: long non-coding RNA, 1848 nt
Organism: Olea europaea var. sylvestris
Lineage: Eukaryota; Viridiplantae; Streptophyta; Magnoliopsida; Lamiales; Oleaceae
Exons: 3
Source: RefSeq, a predicted model, not a curated record
UGAACUGAAUACAUUUUGAAACCUACAACUUAUAAGUAAAAGUUUGUUGCAUCAUUCUUGCAGAAAAAGGGUUUUCAAUGCAAUAGAUUUUGUAUUUGAAUUAAUAAAUAAUUAUUAUGAAUACAUUGCUUGAGGAAACCAGAACAGAGUGAAAUCCACCAUUUAUAAGCUGGUGGCAGAGAUUACAAUAGCUUCUCUUACCAACACCUUUUGUAUCCUUGUGAGUAUACUGGGAAGCAGAAACCCAUGCAAGACAAUGGGAUGUUGGCAAGCUCCCAGGUUUAGUCAGAAGACAAAUGUCUAUACUAACAGCUAUUUCUUUAAUACACUUAGACUCCUGCUGAAACUUCAUUUGCUGUCGACCUAUCCUUCUUUGGCAGUUCUUGAGCUUUUUGAGCAACGGCUUUAUUAGGAACCAAUAUUAUGAAGAUGUUCCUAUCGCGGAAACUCUUGUUCUCCUCAACGGCAAGCUGUGAACGUGUCAAAAAAGAAAUGCAGAUCGAAAAUAAGAGAUGGCACAGACACGACAGUAACAAAGAACGUCCAACAAAAAGAAGCAUUCGGAUGUGCGCAGAAGCAGCGAAAAUUAAGGAAUAACAUAAUAUUCUUAGUUUAUUGCCGGAAUCCUCAUUGCCACUUUCUAGGUAUAGAUGAAAUGAAAGAAACAUUCUGAAUUCAAGCUCCAAACAGGCCUUUAUCAAAGGAGAUGAAAUUAAACUCAUUAAAGACAACAUAAAAUUAUAGCAUACACAAAUCAACGAAAAGUUGGCUUUUGCUUUACAUGUAAACCAAACCCAACAAUAGUGCAAAAUAAUAAUAAUAAUAAUAAAUAAUAAAAAUAAAAAUAAAAAAUCUUACAGUCCACCAUCAAAAAAUUUGUGAAUCGUCUAACAAGUGGGAGUCAGGUUGAAGUGAAGAGAGAGCAAAAUGUUGGUUCUGAAGCUGGUUUCGAUCCUAAACAUGAUUAGUGAUGAGGUAAUUUUAUGUAGCAGUCAGCGGAGACUGAAGCUUACCUAUAUCUGAAAGACAAAAUGGUUGGAAGCUUGGUUUUAUUUGUGAGACGCAUAAACUCAAAUAGAGAGACUCGGAGAGCAAAUAUGUCAACUUAAUAUUUAUUGUGCGGGUGUAGAUUAAUAAAGUAUGAAUGUAACCGCUCCACUCCCAGUGAAGCACAGAUACGCCAGCAAGGUAAAGAGUUAGUGUUCAACACAUCAGAUAGUAAAACAUAUUGAACACGACCGACAUGUCCCUUACAUGACCGUGCCCUCCUCUGAAAAACCACAUGCUGCUAUGUUUGCAACCCCUGACUGUGUUUUGUAGACAUUGCUAGGCUAACGAGGUAAGAAAGUAAAGUUCUAAUAAGACAUACUAAUGAUUUAUGGGGAGAUUAGUUCUUAUUAUGGUUUAACACAAGGAAUGGACUUUUUUGCAAAAUCCAAAGGAGAUGCAGAUACCAACAUUACCGACAACUAUCAGUUACUAAUUGUGAUUAAAUAAUGUCUUCUGAAGUCUGCUAGUUAGUACCACAGCGAAAUGGUCCAAACGGAGCACCUCUAGAGGGGAAGUCUUGAACCAAUGAGAAUAGAAAUCAUCAAAGAAAUUGUGCUUGUCUAACGCAUCAUUCGGGAAACAAAGAAAAGUUAUCAACAGAAAGACAAAGAAAAGGGAAAAAAUUCCCAGAUGUAAAACUCUUUUAGACCCAGUACUACAGUUUGCACUUGUAGUUUUAAUUCUACUCAGAAACAAGCACCAGGACUAUGGAAGGUCACAAAGUAACAAAAAGUAUAACCCAGAAAAUAAGCAAUUCACUUGUGACAUUCAUUUGAUAAGGUGAAGAUAUAUAGUACA